This 452-nucleotide ribosomal RNA is filed under the name Clostridiales bacterium oral taxon 093. RNAcentral describes it as "bacterial SSU rRNA". It matches the Rfam family "Bacterial small subunit ribosomal RNA", at positions 28 to 499 of the family's 1533-position model. Lineage: Bacteria; Bacillati; Bacillota; Clostridia; Eubacteriales. The record is from RNAcentral.
GACGAACGCUGGCGGCAUGCUUAACACAUGCAAGUCGAACGAGCUGAUUCCUUCGGGAUGAAAGCGAGUGCCGACGGGUAGUAAUGUAUGAGUAACCUGCCUCUGUCUACGGGAUAACAUUUGGAAACAAGUGCUAAUACGGUAUAAGACCACAGCACCGCAUGGUGCAGGGGUAAAAGAUUUAUCGGACAGAGAUGGACUCAUAUCCCAUUAGCUAGUUGGUGAGAUAAUAGCCCACCAAGGCGACGAUGGGUAGCCGAGCUGAGAGGCUGAUCGGCCACAUUGGAACUGAAACACGGUCCAGACUCCUACGGGAGGCAGCAGUGGGGAAUAUUGGGCAAUGGAGGAAACUCUGACCCAGCAAUGCCGCGUGAGCGAUGAAGGUCAUCGAUUGUAAAGCUCUUUUCCUGGGAACGAAACAAAUGACGGUACCCAGGGAAUAAGCCCGGCUA